RNAcentral lists this long non-coding RNA (367 nucleotides) under Chrysolophus pictus (golden pheasant). RNAcentral's name for it is "lncRNA (ENSCPIG00010001152.1)". The record is from RNAcentral. Lineage: Eukaryota; Metazoa; Chordata; Aves; Galliformes; Phasianidae.
AGAGGCCCUCUGCCUCGAAAAUCAGAUGUCUCUUGUUCUUGUUUUGCUUUGAUGUAAUUGUAAAGGGGAAAGUGGAAGAGCACAGCUCCCCUGUUUGAACAUGUUGAGCAACCAGCAUUCACCCACAUGGAUUUAUUGUCAUACAACAGGACACUUGGCAAGUACGCAAUGGGGAGGAGGAGGGAAGAUGUUCAGAGGGAGGCAGAGAAGCAGAGAAGGUAGAAGAAGACAGGAGGAUCUGCUCCAAACAAGCAAGUUACACCAUUCACGCCACACGCAAUCAAAAGAAUACCCCUUCCCGCACUCUGAGCCCUCACCUACCCUAAAGUUGGUGACCCUUCCUUCACACACCUUCCUGACAGGAUGA